AUUGAACGCUGGCGGCGGGCCUAACACAUGCAAGUCGAGCGGAUGAGAGGAGCUUGCUCCUUGAUUCAGCGGCGGACGGGUGAGUAAUGCCUAGGAAUCUGCCUGGUAGUGGGGGACAACGGUUCGAAAGGAACGCUAAUACCGCAUACGUCCUACGGGAGAAAGCAGGGGACCUUCGGGCCUUGCGCUAUCAGAUGAGCCUAGGUCGGAUUAGCUAGUAGGUGGGGUAAUGGCCCACCUAGGCGACGAUCCGUAACUGGUCUGGGAGGAUGAUCAGUCACACUGGAACUGAGACACGGUCCAGACUCCUACGGGAGGCAGCAGUGGGGAAUAUUGGACAAUGGGCGAAAGCCUGAUCCAGCCAUGCCGCGUGUGUGAAGAAGGUCUUCGGAUUGUAAAGCACUUUAAGUUGGGAGGAAGGGCAGUAAGUUAAUACCUUGCUGUUUUGACGUUACCGACAGAAUAAGCACCGGCUAACUUCGUGCCAGCAGCCGCGGUAA
RNAcentral lists this ribosomal RNA (500 nucleotides) under uncultured bacterium. RNAcentral's name for it is "partial 16S ribosomal RNA". It matches the Rfam family "Bacterial small subunit ribosomal RNA", at positions 30 to 523 of the family's 1533-position model. The record is from RNAcentral.